RNAcentral lists this ribosomal RNA (465 nucleotides) under Vreelandella stevensii. Its description in RNAcentral is "partial 16S ribosomal RNA". It matches the Rfam family "Bacterial small subunit ribosomal RNA", at positions 338 to 795 of the family's 1533-position model. Lineage: Bacteria; Pseudomonadati; Pseudomonadota; Gammaproteobacteria; Oceanospirillales; Halomonadaceae. The record is from RNAcentral.
CCUACGGGCGGCAGCAGUGGGGAAUAUUGGACAAUGGGGGCAACCCUGAUCCAGCCAUGCCGCGUGUGUGAAGAAGGCCCUCGGGUUGUAAAACACUUUCAGUGAGGAAGAACGCCUGGUGGUUAAUACCCAUCAGGAAAGACAUCACUCACAGAAGAAGCACCGGCUAACUCCGUGCCAGCAGCCGCGGUAAUACGGAGGGUGCGAGCGUUAAUCGGAAUUACUGGGCGUAAAGCGCGCGUAGGUGGCUUGAUAAGCCGGUUGUGAAAGCCCCGGGCUCAACCUGGGAACGGCAUCCGGAACUGUCAAGCUAGAGUGCAGGAGAGGAAGGUAGAAUUCCCGGUGUAGCGGUGAAAUGCGUAGAGAUCGGGAGGAAUACCAGUGGCGAAGGCGGCCUUCUGGACUGACACUGACACUGAGGUGCGAAAGCGUGGGUAGCAAACAGGAUUAGAUACCCGAGUAGUC